Molecule: ribosomal RNA, 467 nt
Filed under: uncultured bacterium
Lineage: Bacteria
Description: partial 16S ribosomal RNA
Rfam family: Bacterial small subunit ribosomal RNA
Source: RNAcentral
GACGAACGCUGGCGGCGUGCUUAACACAUGCAAGUCGAACGGAAAGGCCUCUUUCGGGGGGUACUCGAGUGGGGCACGGGUGAGUAACACGUGAGUAACAUGCCCUUGACUUUGGGAUAACUUCAGGAAACUGGGGCUAAUACACGAUAGGAGCUCCUGCUGCAUGGUGGGGGUUGGAAAGUUUCGGGGGUUGGGGUUGGGUUCGCGGCUUAUAACCUUGUUGGUGGGGUAUUGGCUUACCACAGGUUUGACGGGUAGCCGGCCUGGGAGGGUGACCGGGCACAUUGGGACUGGGAUACGGCCCAGACUCCUACGGGAGGGAACAGGGGGGAAUAAUGCACCAUGGGGGGAAGCCCGGUGCAGCAACGCCGGGGGGGGGAUGACGGGCUUCGGGGUGGAAACCGCUUUCGGUCAUGACGAAGCUGUGUGUGACGGUAGUGGGUAAAGAAGCACCGGCUAACUACGUG